Molecule: ribosomal RNA, 497 nt
Filed under: uncultured bacterium
Lineage: Bacteria
Description: partial 16S ribosomal RNA
Rfam family: Bacterial small subunit ribosomal RNA
Source: RNAcentral
GAUGAACGCUGGCGGCGUGCCUAAUACAUGCAAGUCGAGCGAACAAACGAGGAGCUUGUUCCUCUGAGGUUAGCGGCGGACGGGUGAGUAACACGUGGAUAACCUACCUAUAAGACUGGGAUAACUUCGGGAAACGGAAGCUAAUACCGGAUAAAAUAUUGAACCGCAUGGUUCAAUAGUGAAAGACGGUUUUGCUGUCACUAAUAGAUGGAUCCGCGCCGCAUUAGCUAGUUGGUAAGGUAACGGCUUACCAAGGCGACGAUGCGUAGCCGACCUGAGAGGGUGAUCGGCCACACUGGAACUGAGACACGGUCCAGACUCCUACGGGAGGCAGCAGUAGGGAAUCUUCCGCAAUGGGCGAAAGCCUGACGGAGCAACGCCGCGUGAGUGAUGAAGGUCUUCGGAUCGUAAAACUCUGUUAUUAGGGAAGAACAAAUGUGUAAGUAACUAUGCACGUCUUGACGGUACCUAAUCAGAAAGCCACGGCUAACUACGUG